GCUCUUCUGUGGAAAAAAACAGAGGCAAUUAAUUCACUCAGGUGCGAGUGGGUAUACUGUCGUGUGACCACGAAUUUUAAUAGAAGAAUUGAUCAAGCCCUAGAUCGACUGCGCGCAGGGAAACUGAUCAAUAUUAUCACAGGCCAUACAUAGCACUGAUUCCCAGCUGCGCUGAGACCCGAAUUGUUUGCAGUGUGUGCCACGAUUGCAGUGUCGCUAAGCGGGGUGUGACGGG
This is a non-coding RNA of Maylandia zebra (zebra mbuna), 235 nucleotides long. NCBI's taxonomy places the organism in Eukaryota, Metazoa, Chordata, Actinopteri, Cichliformes, Cichlidae. The record is from RefSeq and is a predicted model, not a curated record.